UGCUUAUAAUCACACAAACAAUCAAGAGCUCCGAGUGUUAAGAUGCAUGUGGUCACCAGAUGAAGUUAGAAGAUAUGUUUCACAUAGAGCGACUGUGAGGAAUACUCGGUUUCAUUGAGAAGUUGGAAUUUGACUGAUAAAGCUAAAAAGUGCAUCAUGGAGAAAGACAAUGUUUAUCUCCUACUCAAUGAUGAAGAAAAUCCAACAAAAAACAGAAGAGCUUACGUUUUCAAUCGCGGCACAUCUGCGCUGUUACAGCAAGACAUGUUCUACGUUUCAAUACUUUUCCUUAGUUUUGUAGUGAUUAUUGUUUUUAUAACAGUUAUUCUUUUAAUACAGUAUUAUUACCUUAGUUGACAAAGAUAAUGGUCAAUUUUG
Macrosteles quadrilineatus (aster leafhopper) is the source of this 378-nucleotide long non-coding RNA. RefSeq lists it as uncharacterized. The record is from RefSeq and is a predicted model, not a curated record. NCBI's taxonomy places the organism in Eukaryota, Metazoa, Arthropoda, Insecta, Hemiptera, Cicadellidae. The transcript has 2 exons.